UACACUCCUGCGGGAGGCAGCAGUGGGGAAUUUUGGACAAUGGGCGAAAGCCUGAUCCAGCAAUGCCGCGUGCAGGAUGAAGGCCUUCGGGUUGUAAACUGCUUGUGUACGGAACGAAAAAGCUCCUUCUAAUACAGGGGGCCCAUGACGGUACCGUAAGAAUAAGCACCGGCUAACUACGUGCCAGCAGCCGCGGUAAUACGUAGGGUGCGAGCGUUAAUCGGAAUUACUGGGCGUAAAGCGUGCGCAGGCGGUUAUGUAAGACAGAUGUGAAAUCCCCGGGCUCAACCUGGGAACUGCAUUUGUGACUGCAUGGCUAGAGUACGGUAGAGGGGGAUGGAAUUCCGCGUGUAGCAGUGAAAUGCGUAGAUAUGCGGAGGAACACCGAUGGCGAAGGCAAUCCCCUGGACCUGUACUGACGCUCAUGCACGAAAGCGUGGGGAGCAAACAGGAUUAGAAACCCGGGUAGUCCCA
This 474-nucleotide ribosomal RNA is filed under the name uncultured organism. RNAcentral describes it as "partial 16S ribosomal RNA". It matches the Rfam family "Bacterial small subunit ribosomal RNA", at positions 332 to 797 of the family's 1533-position model. The record is from RNAcentral.